UUGCAGUCUAUGUACAUGUUGUGAUGUUCCCCUCUAGCGUUAUCCGGACCAGUGAUCUUCUAGGCAACUCCAAUCCUUGACUCUGGGAGCCAGCCUUACCCUGCUCUGCUGUGAGAACCCUCACUCCAGGGCUGAUCACGCACAGCCUCUGGCACGUAAGCUGCUCCCAGCUAUUUGCAAGCGAA
Molecule: long non-coding RNA, 185 nt
Organism: Chelonia mydas (Green sea turtle)
Lineage: Eukaryota; Metazoa; Chordata; Testudines; Cheloniidae
Exons: 3
Source: RefSeq, a predicted model, not a curated record